AUUCAAGUGUCCAAAGGGCAUUUGGUGGAUGCCUUGGCAGUCAGAGGCGAUGAAGGACGUGGUACGCUGCGAUAAGUCAUGGGGAGCUGCGAUCAAGCUUUGAUCCGUGAAUGUCCGAAUGGGGAAACCCACCGCUUAUGCGGUAUCUGUAACUGAAUACAUAGGUUGCAGAAGCGAACCUGGGGAAUUGAAACAUCUCAGUACCCAGAGGAAAAGAAAUCAAACGAGACUCCGAAAGUAGUGGCGAGCGAAAUCGGACCAGCCCAGUGGCUGGGUGUUGAAAAUUGGAAGUGUCUGGAAAGUCACGCCAAAGUAGGUGAUAGCCCUGUACAAGUAAAUCAACAUUCAGUCCUUGAGUAAGGCGGGACACGUGUAAUCCUGUCUGAAUAUGGGGGGACCAUCCUCCAAGGCUAAGUACUACUGACUGACCGAUAGUGCACAAGUACCGUGAGGGAAAGGUGAAAAGAACCCCGAUGAGGGGAGUGAAAUAGACCUGAAACCGAAUGCUUACAAACAGUCGAAGCCCGCAAGGGUGACGGCAUACCUUUUGUAUAAUGGAUCAGAGAGUUAGUCUUGCAUGCAAGCUUAAGCCGUUAGGUGUAGGCGUAGGGAAACCGAGUGUGAAUAGCGCGUUUUAGUAUGCAGGAUUAGACCCGAAACCCGGUGAUCUAUGCAUGGGCAGGUUGAAGUCAGGGUAACACCUGAUGGAGGACCGAACCGGUAGUUGUUGAAAAAACUUCGGAUGACCUGUGCUUAGGGGUGAAAGGCCAAUCAAACCGGGUAAUAGCUGGUUCUCCGCGAAAUCUAUUUAGGUAGAGCGUUGUGCCAUUUACUUCGGGGGGUAGAGCACUGGAUGGACUAGGGGGGCGCGAGCCUUACCAAAUCUAACCAAACUCCGAAUACCCGAAAGUAUUACCACAGCAGACAGACGGUCGGUGAUAACGUCGAUCGUCAAGAGGGAUGAAAACCCAGACCUACAGCUAAGGUCCCCAAAUCGUAGCUAAGUUGAAAAGGAUGUAGGAAUUCCAUGACAACCAGGAUGUUGGCUUAGAAGCAGCCAUCAUUUAAAGAAAGCGUAAUAGCUCACUGGUCUAAAUAAGAGUUCCCGCGCCGAAGAUGUUACGGGGAUUAAGUUACGUACCGAAGCUUAGGGUUCAUAUGUUUUUAACAUAUGAGCGGUAGCGGAGCGUUCCGUAAGCCUGCGAAGGCGGACCUGUGAGGGCCGCUGGAGGUAUCGGAAGUGAGAAUUCUGAUAUGAGUAGCGACAAACAGUGUGAGAAUCACUGUCGCCGUAAGUCCAAGGGUUCCUGCGCAAGGUUAAUCCACGCAGGGUGAGCCGGCCCCUAAGGCGAGGCCGAAAGGCGUAGUCGAUGGGAACCACGUUAAUAUUCGUGGGCCUGAUGGAAGUGACGAAGGCCGAAAGCUGUCAAUUCUUAUUGGAUUGAAUUGGCAGCCUGGGACUUCCAGGAAAUAACUCCAUCGUAUAGACCGUACCCUAAACCGACACAGGUGGACUGGUAGAGUAUACCAAGGCGCUUGAGAGAACGAUGUUGAAGGAACUCGGCAAAUUACUUGCGUAACUUCGGGAUAAGCAAGCCCGUCCUAUGGGCAACCAAUGGACGGGGGCACAAGCCAGGGGGUAGCGACUGUUUAUCAAAAACACAGGGCUCUGCGAAAUCGUAAGAUGACGUAUAGGGUCUGACGCCUGCCCGGUGCCGGAAGGUUAAGAGGAGAUGUUCACGCAUUGAAUCGAAGCCCCGGUAAACGGCGGCCGUAACUAUAACGGUCCUAAGGUAGCGAAAUUCCUUGUCGGGUAAGUUCCGACCUGCACGAAUGGCGUAACGACUUCCCCACUGUCUCCAGCAUCGACUCAGCGAAAUUGAACUCCUCGUGAAGAUGCGAGGUACCCGCGGUCAGACGGAAAGACCCUAUGAACCUUUACUGUAGCUUUGCAGUGGCAUUACGCUUGUUAUGUGUAGAAUAGGUGGGAGACUUUGAAGCCGGGGCGCUAGCCUUGGUGGAGUCACCGUUGAAAUACCACCCUUGACUUUCGUGAUGUCUAACCUCGACCCGUUAUCCGGGUCAGGGACCCUGCAUGGUAGGCAGUUUGACUGGGGCGGUCGCCUCCCAAAUUGUAACGGAGGCGCGCGAUGGUAAGCUCAGGUUGGUCGGAAAUCAACCUACGAGUGCAAUGGCAGAAGCUUGCCUGACUGCAAGACUGACAAGUCGAGCAGAGCCGAAAGGCGGUCAUAGUGAUCCGGUGGUUCCGUAUGGAAGGGCCAUCGCUCAACGAAUAAAAGGUACUCUAGGGAUAACAGGCUGAUAGCGCCCAAGCGUCCACAGCGACGGCGCUGUUUGGCACCUCGAUGUCGGCUCAUCUCAUCCUGGGGCUGGAGCAGGUCCCAAGGGUAUGGCUGUUCGCCAUUUAAAGAGGUACGUGAGCUGGGUUCAGAACGUCGUGAGACAGUUCGGUCCCUAUCUGCCGUGGGUGUUGGAAUAUUGAGAGGAUCUGUCCUUAGUACGAGAGGACCGGGAUGGACACACCUCUGGUGUACCGGUUGUCGCGCCAGCGGCAAGAGCCGGGUAGCUAUGUGUGGAAGGGAUAACUGCUGAAUGCAUCUAAGUAGGAAGCCCCCCUCAAAACUAGUAUUCCCUAUCAGAGCCGUGGAAGACCACCACGUUGAUAGGACGGAUGUGGAAGAGCAGUAAUGCUUGAAGCUAACCGUUACUAAUUGCUCGAUCGGCUUGAAUUC
This 2753-nucleotide ribosomal RNA is filed under the name Micavibrio aeruginosavorus. RNAcentral describes it as "23S ribosomal RNA". It matches the Rfam family "Bacterial large subunit ribosomal RNA". The record is from RNAcentral. Lineage: Bacteria; Pseudomonadati; Bdellovibrionota; Bdellovibrionia; Bdellovibrionales; Pseudobdellovibrionaceae.